This is a regulatory RNA element of Pseudoruegeria sp. SK021, 89 nucleotides long. It matches the Rfam family "Rhodo-rpoB RNA". The record is from Rfam. Lineage: Bacteria; Pseudomonadati; Pseudomonadota; Alphaproteobacteria; Rhodobacterales; Roseobacteraceae.
UGGUCGGAAGGCGCCCCCUGGGAAGGGUGCCAGCAUGGACCGUCCCCCCUGUUUCAAGGAUGCACCCCGUGGCCCCGGCGGUGGUUGUU